GUCUGGUGUGUGUAAAGGUGGUGGCCUGUCUGGUGUCUGGUGUGUGUAAAGGUGGUGGCCUGUCUGGUGUCUGUAAAGGUGGUGGCCUGUCUGGUGUCUGUAAAGGUGGUGGCCUGUCUGGUGUCUGUAAAGGUGGUGGCCUGUCUGGUGUCUGUAAAGGUGGUGGCCUGUCUGGUGUCUGUAAAGGUGGUGGCCUGUCUGGUGUCUGUAAAGGUGGUGGCCUGUCUGGUGUCUGUAAAGGUGGUGGUCUGUCUGGUGUCUGUAAAGGUGGUGGCCUGUCUGGUGUCUGUAAAGGUGGUGGCCUGUCUGGUGUCUGUAAAGGUGGUGGCCUGUCUGGUGUCUGUAAAGGUGGUGGCCUGUCUGGUGUCUGUAAAGGUGGUGGCCUGUCUGGUGUCUGUAAAGGUGGUGGCCUGUCUGGUGUCUGUAAAGGUGGUGGCCUGUCUGGUGUCUGUAAAGGUGGUGGCCUGUCUGGUGUCUGUAAAGGUGGUGGCCUGUCUGGUGUCUGUAAAGGUGGUGGUCUGUCUGGUGUCUGUAAAGGUGGUGGCCUGUCUGGUGUCUGUAAAGGUGGUGGCCUGUCUGGUGUCUGUAAAGGUGGUGGCCUGUCUGGUGUCUGUAAAGGUGGUGGCCUGUCUGGUGUCUGUA
This is a long non-coding RNA of Oncorhynchus keta (chum salmon), 642 nucleotides long. RefSeq lists it as uncharacterized. The transcript is spliced from 3 exons. The record is from RefSeq and is a predicted model, not a curated record. NCBI's taxonomy places the organism in Eukaryota, Metazoa, Chordata, Actinopteri, Salmoniformes, Salmonidae.